This 408-nucleotide ribosomal RNA is filed under the name uncultured bacterium. RNAcentral describes it as "partial 16S ribosomal RNA". It matches the Rfam family "Bacterial small subunit ribosomal RNA", at positions 28 to 526 of the family's 1533-position model. The record is from RNAcentral.
GACGAACGCUGGCGGCGUGCCUAAUACAUGCAAGUCGAGCGAAGCGGCGGAUGGGUGAGUAAUGGGUGGGUAACCUGUCCUUAAGUCUGGGAUACCAGUUGGAAACAGAUGCUAAUACCGGAUACGAAAGGAUGGACCUGCGAUUCAUUAGCUCGUUGGGAAGGUAACGGCUUACCAGGGCGACGAUGCGUAGCCGAGUGGAGUGGCUGAUCGGGCACAUUGGGACUGAGACACGGCCCAAACUCCUACGGGAGGCAGCAGUAGGGAAUCUUCCACAAUGGACGAAAGUCUGACGGAGCAACGCCGCGUGAGUGAAGAAGGUUUGCGGAUCGUAAAACUCUGUUGUUAGAGAAGCGGUAUCUAACCAGAAAGCCACGGCUAACUACGUGCCAGCCGCCGCGGUAAUUC